This 108-nucleotide ribosomal RNA is filed under the name uncultured bacterium. RNAcentral describes it as "partial 16S ribosomal RNA". The record is from RNAcentral.
CUGCGUGAAUACGUUCCCGGGUCUUGUACACACCGCCGUCAACCAUGAAAGUGACCAACCACCCGAAGUCCGAUUCGUCGGCCUAAGGUGGGGGCAUGAGUUGGGGUU